GCGAGGCUUACAGGUGUUACAGUUAGCGGCAAAGGCUCACGAUCACUAAAGGUCACAACCACAGUUCAUGAUUGGCACUUGGCUGGGGAUGGAGAUGUCUCAGUAGGGUUUGCUUUGCAGUAAUUGACGUCUUGCAGUUGACAAUGAAUGGUUAUUGCCUUACUGGGGCAAUACAUACAGUCUAGACUAGACCACCUAAGCAGCAGCCAGCAGGCCUUUGGCCCAAUUGUUUUAAAAUCCAAAAAAAGGGCCCAAAACCAAAGGCCUGCUAGUUAAAAGAAAAAAAUCUGGCAAAACUUUCAUCUCCUUCAGCAGUGGCGAGCAAUGACCGGGUUCCAACGGUUCCAACCUAUAAAUUUCAUCGAAGUCAGUGAGGGCAGUGACCCCGAUCGGCCCUUAAUGGGUUCGUCCUUGCUCUCAACAAGGUUUCAACCCUAUUGACUAUGAUUUUCGAAAUACAUCACUAGGUAUUGUUUUACUUCUUCUUUAUGUUGAUGACAUGAUCAUGACACGAGAUGAUGUUACAAACAUUCGUACUCAGCAGGAAUUUUUGAGUCAAAAUUUUGAGAUGAAAGAGUUAGGUACUCUGAAAUAUUUCCUUUGUCUUGACGUAAGCUCAUGCUUCAGAUGAAUACUAUAUCUCUCAAGCUAAAUAUGCUUUGAAUCUCCUCUCAAAGAGCUGGUUUUAUGGAUAGCAAGAUUGUCACUAGUCCUCUUGAGCUUGAUGUCAAGCUCAUUGCUACAAAUGGUGAACGUCUAUUGCAAGUGACUCUUUAUCAUAUACUCGUUGGUAGUCUUAUCUAUCCUAGCAUCAUUCACCUUGACAUUGCUUGUCUCGUACAUCUUAUUAGUAAAUUAUGAGUGCUCCUUACUCUAUUUACUAUGCUUCUGUCUUUUGGAAUGAAUUCUUUGCUAGGUCAAAAGGACCUUCCUCAUCCACGUCACUUGACUUAUGAACCUAUGCUGAUGCGGAUUGGGACGGUGAUCGUAAUGAUCAUCAUUCUACCAUGGGUAGUUGAUGCAUGAGAUUUCGAGUCAAGUGAUUCUGACUUGUCAGAUAGUACGUUGAUGGCAUUGAGAUAUCAUGAGUUGGCAGAUCGGCACAAAGAUGGCACGUGAUCACAAAAUUUUCCUAAUUUGGGUGGUUUUGAACAAGUUUUGGUAAUUUGGCCAUAACUUUGGCUACGGUUGUCAGAAUCGCAAUUAUGACUCCAAUUUGAAAAGCUCUUUUCGACGUCCGCGAGGUGUCCACCGAGCUAUGACAUCAAUUUCGAGCUGAAAAUCCGUUGUUUUCCCUUUCAAUUUUUCAUUUUUAGUUAUUUUUUUCAUUUGUGGUAAUAUUUAAUUUGCCUUUUUCUAGGAGAUUUUGAACCUGAACUUAGCCAAGUUUUUGACAACUUACUUCUUUUGUUUCGUAUUUUAUUUUGUAUGAUUCUUGGGAUUUUACUAUUUUUUGUAAAAUUUCAAUAAUUUCAUAUUUUCCAAGCUAUUUAACCCGACUUAUAGGUUAAUUUUCGUCAUUCUAUAGUUCAAUAAUAUUGAGUGAAAUUCAGAGAAGUUUCUUUGUGUUUUUUAGGCGUUUUCUUUCGUACUCUUUACCGUGAAUCAUCUAUUGCAAC
RNAcentral lists this long non-coding RNA (1619 nucleotides) under Olea europaea subsp. europaea. The record is from RNAcentral. Lineage: Eukaryota; Viridiplantae; Streptophyta; Magnoliopsida; Lamiales; Oleaceae.